AUACGGAAGGCAGCAGUAGGGAAUAUUGGACAAUGGGCGAAAGCCUGAUCCAGCCAUGCCGCGUGAGGGAAGAAGGUCCUCUGGAUUGUAAACCUCUUUUGGCGGGGAAUAAACCUGCGCUAUACGCGCAGCUGAAGGUACCCGCAGAAUAAGCACCGGCUAACUCCGUGCCAGCAGCCGCGGUAAUACGGAGGGUGCAAGCGUUGUCCGGAUUCAUUGGGUUUAAAGGGUGCGUAGGCGGCCUUGUAAGUCAGCGGUGAAAUACCCUCGCUCAACGAGGGAACUGCCGUUGAUACUGUGAGGCUUGAGUUCGUGCGAGGUUACUGGAAUGCGUGGUGUAGCGGUGAAAUGCAUAGAUAUCACGCAGAACACCGAUUGCGAAGGCAGGUGACUGGCACGUGACUGACGCUGAGGCACGAAAGUGUGGGGAGCAAACAGGAUUAGAUACCCCUGUAGUCGC
This 460-nucleotide ribosomal RNA is filed under the name uncultured bacterium. RNAcentral describes it as "bacterial SSU rRNA". It matches the Rfam family "Bacterial small subunit ribosomal RNA", at positions 339 to 797 of the family's 1533-position model. The record is from RNAcentral.